This 64-nucleotide ribosomal RNA is filed under the name Lachnospiraceae bacterium. Its description in RNAcentral is "partial 16S ribosomal RNA". It matches the Rfam family "Bacterial small subunit ribosomal RNA", at positions 1 to 63 of the family's 1533-position model. The record is from RNAcentral. Lineage: Bacteria; Bacillati; Bacillota; Clostridia; Lachnospirales; Lachnospiraceae.
AUNUUUAGAGAGUUUGAUCCUGGCUCAGGAUGAACGCUGGCGGCGUGCUUAACACAUGCAAGUC